UAAUAAUGACAAAAUGAGAACAGGAACAUAACCAAAUAUGGGCACAGGGGGAGAAAACGCAACAAACAGUCCAUAACUGUGACAGUUUGUCCUUUCCUGGGUAUGUUAUUUUCUUCAUACCCAGUGAAAGAGAUUAAGUUUUCUUGAAGGACAUUUGACCCUUUCUAUGGUUGGAGGACUUUUUAAAUUUACAUCUUCUAAGACUGAAAACAAGACAUGCUAGAUGUCAUUUUAAACUCUUUUGUGGUCAAGUACCUAUAAGUGACACUCAGAUGUAAUCCCCUUGUGAGGAAUGUCAAAGUAAGUGUGGUCUCUCAGACUCUAGAGACUUUAAUACCAUUCCAGGAGCUUUUGAUCAGACUUGUGACCUGCAAACAACAACUUCCUGUGUGAGAUUAUACCAUUUACCUCGCAAUCACAUCAUCACAAGGGCAAAUUACCAACUACACUUUUUCCUUUACUUAUUUUUUGUCUCGCCAUACUUGGCUUGGAUAGUCGCCAUAUAAACAAGCCAACUAACCAUGUCAUGAUUAGAAAAGGCCAUGUGGUUUCAUUACCUGGAUGAAUAAAGGUCACCCCACUGUGCUGUGUAGAGAAACUAAAGCCUCCUCCAGCCAUCUGGAAUUUACUGUUCCCAUCAUAAACUGCUGUAAUUGGCAACCUUAUCGCAGAUGAGUGUGAAUUCAGUCUCUCAUCUGAGCCAUAAGGAAAGACUGUUAGUGCUGAAGGGAGAAGCUGCUCAUCAUCUCAGGCAGAAACAGGACCCUGGGUUAUGGUACCAGACCCAGGAAACAUAACAAAAGGGGCUCUGUUGCAUAUCUGCCCUGAAGCCCAGCUCUCCCCUGAGGUCUGCCUGACCAUCGAUCGCAAGCUACAUGACAAACAAGCAGAAUGAGCUGCCCAGCAAGCAGGACCACUUUAAACAGGAGUCAUUCUGUGCCUGUCAAUUACCCACACUUACUGUUACGAACUCAUUCGUUUUCAAGGUCCCCACCAACUGUGCAUGAGCAAUGUUCAAUAAUGCUUCUGUAACUGUUUACACUUAAAAGAACGUUUUAC
Molecule: long non-coding RNA, 1059 nt
Organism: Cyprinus carpio (common carp)
Lineage: Eukaryota; Metazoa; Chordata; Actinopteri; Cypriniformes; Cyprinidae
Exons: 4
Source: RefSeq, a predicted model, not a curated record